AACAAACGCUGGCGGCGUGCCUAACACAUGCAAGUCGUACGAGAAAGUCCGCUUCGGUGGAUUAGUAAAGUGGCGCACGGGUGAGUAACGCGUGGAUAAUCUACCCUUUAGUCUGGAAUAACUUAUCGAAAGGUGAACUAAUACCGGAUAAUAUCCCGAUUUCUUCGGCGAUCGGGAUCAAAGAAGGCCUCUGCUUGCAAGCUUUCACUGAAGGAUGAGUCCGCGUACCAUUAGCUAGUUGGCAGGGUAAUGGCCUACCAAGGUUAUGAUGGUUAGCUGGUCUGAGAGGAUGAUCAGCCACACUGGAACUGAAACACGGUCCAGACUCCUACGGGAGGCAGCAGUGAGGAAUAUUGCGCAAUGGGGGCAACCCUGACGCAGCAACGCCGCGUGAGUGAGGAAGGUUUUCGGAUUGUAAAGCUCUGUCGAGCGGAAAGAAGUGCAUGGUGGUUAAUAUCCAUCAUGCUUGACGGUACCGCUAAAGGAAGCACCGGCUAACUCCGUGCCAGCAGCCGCGGUAAUACGGGGGGUGCAAGCGUUGUUCGGAAUCAUUGGGCGUAAAGCGCGUGUAGGCGGCUUGACAAGUCAGAUGUGAAAGCCCUGGGCUUAACCCAGGAAGUGCAUUUGAAACUGUCAGGCUAGAGUAAGGGAGAGGAAAGUGGAAUUCCUGGUGUAGAGGUGAAAUUCGUAGAUAUCAGGAGGAACACCGGUGGCGAAGGCGACUUUCUGGCCCUAUACUGACGCUGAGACGCGAAAGCGUGGGUAGCAAACA
Molecule: ribosomal RNA, 772 nt
Filed under: uncultured Smithella sp.
Lineage: Bacteria; Pseudomonadati; Thermodesulfobacteriota; Syntrophia; Syntrophales; Smithellaceae
Description: bacterial SSU rRNA
Rfam family: Bacterial small subunit ribosomal RNA
Source: RNAcentral